This 468-nucleotide ribosomal RNA is filed under the name uncultured bacterium. RNAcentral describes it as "partial 16S ribosomal RNA". It matches the Rfam family "Bacterial small subunit ribosomal RNA", at positions 28 to 507 of the family's 1533-position model. The record is from RNAcentral.
GACGAACGCUGGCGGCGUGCUUAACACAUGCAAGUCGAACGGAAAGGCCCUGCUUUUGUGGGGUGCUCGAGUGGCGAACGGGUGAGUAACACGUGAGUAACCUGCCCUUGACUUUGGGAUAACUUCAGGAAACUGGGGCUAAUACCGGAUAGGAGCUCCUGCUGCAUGGUGGGGGUUGGAAAGUUUCGGCGGUUGGGGAUGGACUCGCGGCUUAUCAGCUUGUUGGUGGGGUAGUGGCUUACCAAGGCUUUGACGGGUAGCCGGCCUGAGAGGGUGACCGGCCACAUUGGGACUGAGAUACGGACCAGACUCCUACGGGAGGCAGCAGUGGGGAAUAUUGCACAAUGGGCGGACGCCUGAUGCAGCAACGCCGCGUGCGGGAUGACGGCCUUCGGGUUGUAAACCGCUUUCGCCUGUGACGAAGCGUGCGUGACGGUAAUGGGUAAAGAAGCAACGGCUAACUACGUG